UGCGACCAAAAUCAUAUUAUAGGGCUGCU
Molecule: small RNA, 29 nt
Filed under: Bombyx mori (domestic silkworm)
Lineage: Eukaryota; Metazoa; Arthropoda; Insecta; Lepidoptera; Bombycidae
Description: ovarian small RNA-33932
Source: RNAcentral